CCGGCUACCUCCGAAUGGGAAAACCCAGUGUGAUUCGUCAUCUUAUAACUAACUGAUGCCAUAGGUUAAAGGGGCGAUGCGGAGGAACUGAAAUCUAUGAGGAACACGAGGAAAAGCACUCAGCCGAUAUAACCACAGGAGGGGGGAGAGAACGUGGUGCAGGCCAGGGCCGGAAUCAGUGUGUGGGUUGCGGGAAGCGUCUGGAAAGGCG
This 211-nucleotide ribosomal RNA is filed under the name Escherichia coli. RNAcentral describes it as "partial 23S ribosomal RNA". Lineage: Bacteria; Pseudomonadati; Pseudomonadota; Gammaproteobacteria; Enterobacterales; Enterobacteriaceae. The record is from RNAcentral.